AAUGCCGCAAUCAAUAUACCGUAGACAGUAACUGACGCAAGUCUCAAUUUGUUACCGAGGGAUAUUGUCAUGUAUGAAAAUGACAAACCCCUAGGUAAUCUAGGGGUUUUUAUAUAACGCG
Regulatory RNA element from Catenibacterium sp. CAG:290, 121 nucleotides. It matches the Rfam family "Ribosomal protein L10 leader". From Rfam's summary of the family: This family is a putative r-protein leader autoregulatory structure found in B. subtilis and other low-GC Gram-positive bacteria. It is located in the 5' untranslated regions of mRNAs encoding ribosomal proteins L10 and L12 (rplJ-rplL). A Rho-independent transcription terminator structure that is probably involved in regulation is included at the 3' end. The record is from Rfam. NCBI's taxonomy places the organism in Bacteria, Bacillati, Bacillota, Erysipelotrichia, Erysipelotrichales, Coprobacillaceae.